AUAAUGAGUCUAUAUAUGUUUUAGAUAUAUGAUCUGUUAUGUGUAUCAUUCGUUCUCCAACACAUUUCAAAGAAGAAGAAAGGAAUGUGUGAUGGGAUUGUGGUCCAUACAAAAUCUAUGGGAAUCUAAUGAUUGUUAAGAUAAAAAAAAAAAAAAGAUCAUAUAUCUUUCUCCAAACAAAUUCCAUUUGUGUUUCUCCUCUUUCACUUAUUAAUUUUCUCAUGGUGUUUGUUCCUUUGGGUCGUUGACUACAUAAUAUAUACCUAAAU
This 269-nucleotide long non-coding RNA is filed under the name Capsella rubella. RNAcentral's name for it is "long non-coding RNA (CRUB_LNC004581)". Lineage: Eukaryota; Viridiplantae; Streptophyta; Magnoliopsida; Brassicales; Brassicaceae. The record is from RNAcentral.